UGGGGACUGUGGUGGGGUGGGGGGAGGGGGGAGGGAUAGCAUUAGGAGAUAUACCUAAUGCUAAAUGACGAGUUAAUGGGUGCAGCACACCAGCAUGGCACAUGUAUACAUAUGUAACUAACCUGCACAUUGUGCACAUGUACCCUAAAACUUAAAGUAUAAUAAAAAAAAAAAGUUACUCUCACUGAAGUUCUCUCUUGCCCAUUUCAAUCCCUACUCCCAUCUCCAGCCCUAAGCAAUACUGCUCUGAUAUUCUGUCUGUAUAAAUUUCCCAUCUGUGUAAUAGAAAUGGAAUCAUACAAUAUAUUAUAUUGAGGUCUGACUUUAAUCAUUUAGUUACUAUUUUUGAAGUUAAUUGAUGCUUUAGCUUGUGCCGGUCAUGUGUUUUCCUUUUCAUUGCUUCAUAGUCCAUUGUGUGGAUAUAUAAACAGUGUUUAUUCAUUCAUCAGUUGAUGGACAUUUAAUUAUUUCUGUUUUUUGUAUUAUGAAUAAUGCUGCUUUGAGCAUUCAUAAUACAGUCAUGUAAUGUAUAAUAACAUUUUGGUCAAUGAUGGAUAGCAUGUAUGAUGGCAGUCCCAUAAGAUUAUGAUAGAGUUUAAAAAUUCCUAUCACCUAGUGUCUUGUAGCUGUCACAAGUGUGUAGCGUAACACAUUAGACAGGCAUCAGUGAUGAUGCCGAUGGAAAGGAAUCUACUGGUUUUCCAGUUAUGUUAAAGUACUGUAUAGAACAUACAACUAUGUGCAGUAUAUAAUACUUGGUAGUGAAAAUAAAUGACUAUGUUCCUGGUUUAUGUAUUUACUGUGCUAUACUUUCUAUAAUUAUUUGAGAAUAUAUUCUAUCUGCGUAUUAAAACAAACCACUUACCUGUAAAACAGCCUCAAGUAGGCCUUUGAGGAUGUAUGCUAGAAGGUGUUGUUAUCGUAAGAGAUGACAGCACCAUGUGUGUUUCUGCCCCUUCCAGUGGGACAAGAUGUGGAUUCAGAAGGCAGUGACAUUGAUGAUCCUAAUCCUGUGUAGGUCUAGGCUGAUGUGUGUGUCUGAGCCUCAGCUGUUAACAAAAAAAGUUUAAAAUUUAAAACUUAAAUUUUAAAAUAGAAAAAAUAUAGAAUAAUAUUUUAAAAAUUUGCACAGCUGUACAAUAUGUUUAUGUUUUAAGGUAAGUGGUAUUACAAAAUAGUUGUUUUUAAAAUUGUUUAAGUUUAUAAAUUUUAAAUGUUACAGUAGGCUAAGGUUAAUUGUUGAGUAAAUAAAAAUAGAUUUCUAUAAAUUUAGGGUAGUCUAAAGAUACAAUGUUCAUAAAGUCUAUAGUAGUGUACAGUAAGGUCCUAGGCCUUCACAUUCACUCACCAUUCACUCACCGAAUCAUCCAGAGCAACGUCCAGUCCUUUAAGCUCUGUUCAUGGUAAAGUGCCCUAUACAGAUGUACUAAUUUUUAUAUUUUAUACCAUAUUUUAUUGUAGCUUUUCUAUAUUUAGAUUUUAGAUAUAUAAAUGCUUACCGUUUUGUUACCUUUGCCUGCAGUAUUCAGUACAGUUACAUGUUGUACAGUUUGAAGCCCAGAGCAAUUGGCUGUAUCAUACAGCCUAGGUGUAUAGGGGGCUAUGCCAUCCAGGUUUAUGUAAGUGCACUCUAUGAUGUCUGCGUAAUUACUACAUCACUUAACGAUGCAUUUCUCAGAACACAUCACUGUCGUUAAGAGACACAUGUCUGUACAAAUGACUUUGGAGAAUAUGCUUUCAGUUCACUUGGAGCAUUCCUGGGUGUGGAUUUGCUGGACCAAAUGGUAAGUUCAAAUUUAAUUUUUUUUAAGAAACAAGAAAGCUAUCUUCUAAAUUAGCUGUGCCAAUGUACAUUUCUACCGUGCUGCAUAGUACCAAUUUCAUACAGUGUAUGAAAUUGGUACACUGUAUGGUAAGCCCUAGCAUGUAAGAAAUGAAUAAAGUAACACAUAUAAAGAUUAGUAUAAAGCAAAUGAGAUUAUUAUUGUUGUUAUUGUCUUUGUCAGAUUCUCAGAAUAAUUAAGAAUAUAUUUUUAUAUAAAUGUGCUUGGCAACAUAGCUGAAAACAGCGUUAGUAGUUAUAUACUUUUAUCAGUAACAAAGACAUAAAUUUUCCGGGAGAAAAACACUUGUAAUAACAAUGUCAGAAUUAACAUACAAAUUCUGCAAAACAUUUUUGGCAGUUUAAUUGGGGCAGUGUUUUGUAGACAAAUGAACAACUUAAGUAAGGGGAAUCAACAAAACUUGGGUUUCAAAAGUUAUCUGGGUUUAGAGUGUGAAACUUCGUCGGAGGACACACACCUUGCGUGAAUGAGAUGCCUCGGUGUGUGUGGACAUGUUGGAGGUACAGCAUAAUGGUGGCUUCCUCCAGAAAGGGACAUUUGGGGGAGCACCAAUGGCUCCUGUCUCACAGUGGAUUCAUUCCACCUAGACAACACAGCCUGAUGUGGCAUGGACAUGAAUGGAGGUCAAAUGGGCAGUAGCUGAGAGGAUCAGCCCUGACAAGGGCCAGGGUGAAAGACCUGGGAGUCUCUUCAGGUGCAAAGUCUUCAGUUGAAAAAAGGAGGUGGUCACAGGAGAUACUGAGCUGGAUCAAUAAAGUGCAGGAGAGAGAGUUGUUGGCCCUGGGGAGCGAGUAGUAUGGACUCUUAAGUUUUCUCCUCCUUCCAUUAAUUUCUCUUCCAGUGCAGACUUCAGUCUUAGACUUCCCAGCUGCCUUGAGGGAUUGGAUGAGCCUUGGCCAGCUCUUGAAGGAAACAAUAAAAUCACUUUAAUGUGCUACUUUUCAUUUUGAAGUCAUUACAGUAUCAUUUGCAAAACUCAACAAGGAAAGAUGCCUGUGGAUGGCCGUGUUCUGGGAGUCACUGUGAUGAGGUGCUGCCUGCUUUCGCCCAACCUGAUCUGGGGCUCAGACAGCUAACAGGCCCGAGUGGCUAGGAGCCAGGUUCUCACACGUCCCUGAGGAACUAGAGAGGAACGCCUCUGGGAAGCCCAGCCAGAGCCAACCGGAAGGGCCUUUUGGUGAAGUCUGACAUCCUACAUUAGUUUCUCUGGACCUGGCCUCGCAGGAGUUUCCAGCUCAUGAGGGCAGAGGAGAUGAAGAGAGGCCGAUCGACGUGAGGGUUGUGCAGGCGGCCCCUCUGAGGUGUGACUCCAGUAAGUACUCUGGAAUUACUUGCUGAGAAAGAAAAGUCUGGAUGCCAAGAAAGGUGUGACAUCCUUGCUGGCUUCAAUGUGAAGAGCCACCCUGAUUCUGGGAUUCUGAUAGGAAUAAGGUAGAUGAUGCAUAUCUGAACCUGGAAACCGCUUCCCACUGUAGAGCGUGUCUGAGUCAUGUCCCUUAGCUUCAGCAGAGCAGAUCCAGCAGGCUCUGAGCUUGGCCUCUUUGCCUGGAGCGAGACCUCUAGGUAAUGUCUCCAGAGAGGGUGGCACAAAGGAUCCUGGAUCUCCUGAUCACAGCAGCCCAAGAGUGCCGUGCGUGCACCAUGGCUCAAGAAGAAGACUUAAAAAGGGGAAACUCCUCCUGAGGGUGCUGUAGGAGACAUCUGCAAAAAAGAAGAUGCUGGCAAUAUGCCAUCAACCUCAGAGGGGAGUAUUUACCCUGAAAUGGCUCACUUCCUGAGGAACAAACUUGCUGGAUCUAGUGUACGGAAACCUGAUUCUGGGUUCCUUUGGGAAGGAGCAUUACGGGCCUGGAUACCCUCUGAGGUCAAAUCAUUGGGCUUGUGGCCAUGAGACCACAGACUUUG
Molecule: long non-coding RNA, 3749 nt
Filed under: Homo sapiens (human)
Lineage: Eukaryota; Metazoa; Chordata; Mammalia; Primates; Hominidae
Description: HSALNT0393086
Source: RNAcentral